RNAcentral lists this transfer RNA (72 nucleotides) under Bos taurus (domestic cattle). It matches the Rfam family "tRNA". Rfam says of the family: Transfer RNA (tRNA) molecules are approximately 80 nucleotides in length. Their secondary structure includes four short double-helical elements and three loops (D, anti-codon, and T loops). The record is from Rfam by way of RNAcentral. RNAcentral also lists the same sequence under 2 other names. Lineage: Eukaryota; Metazoa; Chordata; Mammalia; Artiodactyla; Bovidae.
UCCCUGGUGGCUCAGAGGUUAAAGCCCUUGCCUGCAAUGCGGGAGACCCGGGUUUGAUCCCUGGGUUGGGAA